RNAcentral lists this unclassified non-coding RNA (1337 nucleotides) under Bombus terrestris (buff-tailed bumblebee). RNAcentral's name for it is "misc RNA ENSBTSG00005031763.1". The record is from RNAcentral. Lineage: Eukaryota; Metazoa; Arthropoda; Insecta; Hymenoptera; Apidae.
AGAAAAUACUUUGAAAUGAAAAUUGCCCAUUGAACGAUUAAACAUUUUUAUUGGAACAUCAAUUAAAAAAAUGAGAAGAAACGUUGCAUCUAACGGUGCACUGUGUUAAAACACUUUAAACAUGAAUGUGGCUCAUUGAUACAAUCUGGACAAUAGGUGGUCACUUUUUUCCUCUGAUUCUUAGCAAUUUUUCAUCCUAAUUGUUUAACAUUUUUUUAUACCACUCUCUGCAAAAUUUUCGUGCCAGCUACGCUUGCCCUUCUUUCUUCUGUAUUUCCUAUGGCAAUCUUUGUCGAAUAAGUAUAUUUGACUGCUCUGGUGAAUGGCUCUGUGUAAGGUGCAUUGCCAGUGCCAUUCUAAAAUCUGAUACCUUGAAUUUUGUUUUUGUUGCUUGUUUAGAGAGUAUUAUCGCGUUUGAAAUUCAUGUAUUUAACAAUAACUCUGAAGCUAGUUUUAUAUACCACUUGAGGGUUCCUCUAUGUGGUGUAGAAUAUGCUAUCAUUUGAUCCGAUAAGUCUACAGUACAUUUUCCUCUCUUGUAAUCUACCACUACCAUUGAUUUAUCACAAACAUAAUUUUCUUUGCGGACCUCUACCAUUUCAGCCGAAUGUUUCGUCGAAAUCAUAAAAAUAAUCAUAAUAGUGUUUGUUAAUAUCUUCUACACGGUUCAAUAAUAUAUUCUGCACGUUACCAAGGCGCCAAUAAGAUAAACGGUCCAUUCAGGAAGAAUGUUGUCUUACAUCAUCAAUUUAUGACUAUUUUGUCAUUAUAUGCUUUGAAUAAUAAAAAUACUUCCGUAGCGUCCUCAGUGAAACAUUUGAUUUCGGCGUGGCAGUCAAAGUGUUAACGUGUCUCCUUGCUAAAAAAAAAAAAAAAAAAAUUGCGAAAGAGAAAUUAGCGAAUGCGGCAUCGUAUCCCAUAGGGUCUGUGACGUGUCUUCCAUAAAAUAUGGCAAACCUUGUCGACGCUUGUCGCUUUUCUUCCUCUUUCUUUUUUCCAUUUUUGUUGAUUUUGCACGAGAAAAAUUGAAAACUGUUUUUGUUUCUCGUAAUAGGUACGCAACCGUGUUAUUAUAAUAAAAGGACGCGUCGUUUCGAUAGCUACGAAAUCAAAGUAAUUGGCUCUUAAUCAAAAAGCACGACGUUUCUGCUGAAUUUACGCGCAGAUAAAAACACCAGCUACUCCAUAAUGAUCGACGUUUAUAGAUGCCAGUCGUUUUAUCGCGUAUUAACUUUUAAAGGGAAGCUUCGUCGUGCACGAUAGCCCGCGCGAAGGAAGCAACAGUCGUCCUCUGGCGACUUGCAAUUCCCAUUUCUAAUAUUCUAAUCAAUUUAUGC